RNAcentral lists this ribosomal RNA (2900 nucleotides) under Klebsiella pneumoniae. RNAcentral describes it as "bacterial LSU rRNA". It matches the Rfam family "Bacterial large subunit ribosomal RNA". The record is from RNAcentral. Lineage: Bacteria; Pseudomonadati; Pseudomonadota; Gammaproteobacteria; Enterobacterales; Enterobacteriaceae.
UUAAGCGACUAAGCGUACACGGUGGAUGCCCUGGCAGUCAGAGGCGAUGAAGGACGUGCUAAUCUGCGAAAAGCGUCGGUAAGGUGAUAUGAACCGUUACAGCCGGCGAUGUCCGAAUGGGGAAACCCAGUGCAAUUCGUUGCACUAUCGUUAACUGAAUACAUAGGUUAACGAGGCGAACCGGGGGAACUGAAACAUCUAAGUACCCCGAGGAAAAGAAAUCAACCGAGAUUCCCCCAGUAGCGGCGAGCGAACGGGGAGCAGCCCAGAGUCUGAAUCAGCUUGUGUGUUAGUGGAACGGUCUGGAAAGUCCGACGGUACAGGGUGAUAGUCCCGUACACCAAAAUGCACAGGUUGUGAACUCGAAGAGUAGGGCGGGACACGUGGUAUCCUGUCUGAAUAUGGGGGGACCAUCCUCCAAGGCUAAAUACUCCUGACUGACCGAUAGUGAACCAGUACCGUGAGGGAAAGGCGAAAAGAACCCCGGCGAGGGGAGUGAAAAAGAACCUGAAACCGUGUACGUACAAGCAGUGGGAGCACCUUCGGGUGUGACUGCGUACCUUUUGUAUAAUGGGUCAGCGACUUAUAUUCUGUAGCAAGGUUAACCGUAUAGGGGAGCCGCAGGGAAACCGAGUCUUAACUGGGCGUUAAGUUGCAGGGUAUAGACCCGAAACCCGGUGAUCUAGCCAUGGGCAGGUUGAAGGUUGGGUAACACUAACUGGAGGACCGAACCGACUAAUGUUGAAAAAUUAGCGGAUGACUUGUGGCUGGGGGUGAAAGGCCAAUCAAACCGGGAGAUAGCUGGUUCUCCCCGAAAGCUAUUUAGGUAGCGCCUCGUGAAUUCAUCUUCGGGGGUAGAGCACUGUUUCGGCUAGGGGGUCAUCCCGACUUACCAACCCGAUGCAAACUACGAAUACCGAAGAAUGUUAUCACGGGAGACACACGGCGGGUGCUAACGUCCGUCGUGAAGAGGGAAACAACCCAGACCGCCAGCUAAGGUCCCAAAGUCAUGGUUAAGUGGGAAACGAUGUGGGAAGGCACAGACAGCCAGGAUGUUGGCUUAGAAGCAGCCAUCAUUUAAAGAAAGCGUAAUAGCUCACUGGUCGAGUCGGCCUGCGCGGAAGAUGUAACGGGGCUAAACCAUGCACCGAAGCUGCGGCAGCGACACUAUGUGUUGUUGGGUAGGGGAGCGUUCUGUAAGCCUGCGAAGGUGACCUGUGAGGGUUGCUGGAGGUAUCAGAAGUGCGAAUGCUGACAUAAGUAACGAUAAAGCGGGUGAAAAGCCCGCUCGCCGGAAGACCAAGGGUUCCUGUCCAACGUUAAUCGGGGCAGGGUGAGUCGACCCCUAAGGCGAGGCCGAAAGGCGUAGUCGAUGGGAAACAGGUUAAUAUUCCUGUACUUGGUGUUACUGCGAAGGGGGGACGGAGAAGGCUAUGUUAGCCGGGCGACGGUUGUCCCGGUUUAAGCAUGUAGGCUGGUUAUCCAGGCAAAUCCGGAUAAUCAAGGCUGAGGUGUGAUGACGAGGCACUACGGUGCUGAAGUAACAAAUGCCCUGCUUCCAGGAAAAGCCUCUAAGCAUCAGGUAACAUCAAAUCGUACCCCAAACCGACACAGGUGGUCAGGUAGAGAAUACCAAGGCGCUUGAGAGAACUCGGGUGAAGGAACUAGGCAAAAUGGUGCCGUAACUUCGGGAGAAGGCACGCUGGUGUGUAGGUGAAGCCCCUGCGGGUGGAGCUGAGACCAGUCGAAGAUACCAGCUGGCUGCAACUGUUUAUUAAAAACACAGCACUGUGCAAACACGAAAGUGGACGUAUACGGUGUGACGCCUGCCCGGUGCCGGAAGGUUAAUUGAUGGGGUUAUCCGUAAGGAGAAGCUCUUGAUCGAAGCCCCGGUAAACGGCGGCCGUAACUAUAACGGUCCUAAGGUAGCGAAAUUCCUUGUCGGGUAAGUUCCGACCUGCACGAAUGGCGUAAUGAUGGCCAGGCUGUCUCCACCCGAGACUCAGUGAAAUUGAACUCGCUGUGAAGAUGCAGUGUACCCGCGGCAAGACGGAAAGACCCCGUGAACCUUUACUAUAGCUUGACACUGAACAUUGAGCCUUGAUGUGUAGGAUAGGUGGGAGGCUUUGAAGCGUGGACGCCAGUCUGCGUGGAGCCAACCUUGAAAUACCACCCUUUAAUGUUUGAUGUUCUAACGUUGGCCCCUGACCGGGGUUGCGGACAGUGUCUGGUGGGUAGUUUGACUGGGGCGGUCUCCUCCCAAAGCGUAACGGAGGAGCACGAAGGUUAGCUAAUCCUGGUCGGACAUCAGGAGGUUAGUGCAAUGGCAUAAGCUAGCUUGACUGCGAGCGUGACGGCGCGAGCAGGUGCGAAAGCAGGUCAUAGUGAUCCGGUGGUUCUGAAUGGAAGGGCCAUCGCUCAACGGAUAAAAGGUACUCCGGGGAUAACAGGCUGAUACCGCCCAAGAGUUCAUAUCGACGGCGGUGUUUGGCACCUCGAUGUCGGCUCAUCACAUCCUGGGGCUGAAGUAGGUCCCAAGGGUAUGGCUGUUCGCCAUUUAAAGUGGUACGCGAGCUGGGUUUAGAACGUCGUGAGACAGUUCGGUCCCUAUCUGCCGUGGGCGCUGGAGAAUUGAGGGGGGCUGCUCCUAGUACGAGAGGACCGGAGUGGACGCAUCACUGGUGUUCGGGUUGUCAUGCCAAUGGCACUGCCCGGUAGCUAAAUGCGGAAGAGAUAAGUGCUGAAAGCAUCUAAGCACGAAACUUGCCCCGAGAUGAGUUCUCCCUGAGACUUUAAGUCUCCUGAAGGAACGUUAAAGACGAUGACGUUGAUAGGCCGGGUGUGUAAGCGCAGCGAUGCGUUGAGCUAACCGGUACUAAUGAACCGUGAGGCUUAACCUU